UUCCCUAGAAGGAGAAAUCGGUAAGGUGAGAAGAUCAGAUGGAACUUACUAAAAGAGGACUAAGAACAAAAUGCAAUUAUUAGUGAACACGAGCUCUAUGAUGUUGUGUUGGCCUCUGCCACACAUCAACAUGAAUCUGUCACAGCGCUACCUGGAUCUCAUCUCCUUUCCUUGCUGCCUUCACUUCCCCUUGAGGACUAAGGACUGAAGAUCCCCUGAAACUCUGCUGUAG
Molecule: long non-coding RNA, 232 nt
Filed under: Bos indicus x Bos taurus (hybrid cattle)
Lineage: Eukaryota; Metazoa; Chordata; Mammalia; Artiodactyla; Bovidae
Description: lncRNA (ENSBIXG00005015889.1)
Source: RNAcentral